RNAcentral lists this long non-coding RNA (248 nucleotides) under Glycine max (soybean). RNAcentral's name for it is "long non-coding RNA (GMAX_LNC000188)". Lineage: Eukaryota; Viridiplantae; Streptophyta; Magnoliopsida; Fabales; Fabaceae. The record is from RNAcentral.
ACAUAUAUAUUAAACCAUUAUACAUUAUACACAUAUCAGAACAUAAUUCAGUUUUUACGUGUAUCUAAACCUAGGAUUUACAUACCCAAUCAAAAAGAGUAAAGGAACCAAUUAAGGAAGAGUUGAUAACAAAACACAAUUUUCUCCCAAAAUAAAUUUCAACGUUAUCACGUCGACUUGGCGGCUCCAACAAAAGACUUCCCUCUAAGUCACUUAUUGCUGCUCAUUUGCUCCCAUGAACGAAAGUU